This 400-nucleotide ribosomal RNA is filed under the name uncultured bacterium. RNAcentral describes it as "bacterial SSU rRNA". It matches the Rfam family "Bacterial small subunit ribosomal RNA", at positions 355 to 755 of the family's 1533-position model. The record is from RNAcentral.
UGAGGAAUAUUGCGCAAUGGACGGAAGUCUGACGCAGCAACGCCGCGUGUGGGAUGACGGAGCUACGCUUUGUAAACCACUGUAGCAUGGGAAGAAAAGCAUCUUUGGGAUGUGGGACUGUACCAUGAAAGUAAGCAUCGGCUAACUACGUGCCAGCAGCCGCGGUAAUACGUAGGAUGCAAGCGUUGUCCGGAUUUACUGGGUGUAAAGGGUGCGCAGGCGGGAUGGUAAGUCAGAGGUGAAAGCUUGCAGCUUAACUGCAAAAUUGCCUUUGAUACUGCCGUUCUUGAGUAUGACAGAGGCGAAUGGAAUAUGUGGUGUAGCGGUGAAAUGCGUAGAUAUCACAUAGAACACCAGUGGCGAAGGCGGUUCGCUGGGUCAUUACUGACGCUCAGGCACG